UUAAUCUCUCCCUAUAUAUGAAGACUGCCCAAACCCUCGCAAGGCAUCAUCUGGAGUGAAAAGGAGAGGAAGAGAGUGGCGUUGGGAGUAAUAGGUAUGGGGGGAGUGGGCAGUGUUGAAUCUUUCUGCCCAUUUGUGAGCAGCACAAUUAACUCUUCCCAGCACCUCCCAUACCCUUCAUUUCCAACCCUUGCUCCCCUUCUCCCGCUCUCCUAAUCUUAGCCCUGCUCAGGAUGUAAACAACUUCAAGGUGGUUUCGUUAAGGGUAAUUCAACUCAUUUUUCGACCUUGUGGGAAGCCAUUGAGAUGACCUUGCACGUCCUUAGAAUAUCAAAACCAAACAAGUUCCUGGUACCGAAUUUGGCGUAAACUUGAAAAGUAUUUCCACUCGAACAAGUUCUUGACAAACAUUUCUACCUUUCCGUUUUUCUGUAAAAUCAGUGUUAUGUAACAUCGUAUGAGUGAUUCAUGUAUCAAUCCCAUUAUUGACAGUGCGGUAUAUGAAAAUAACAUGAUCUUCUAAAAUUAGGAAAUGGCGAGACAAAUAUGGCUUGCGCUUGUCUUUCGAGGUAGACUCGAUAGGAACUAGGUUGUGGGUGGAGCUAUGGCCGAAGCCAUUGCAUUUCAUGCUCUGCCCCCCUCCCCCAAGAUUAGUUCCAUCUCUUACCACUGUUGGUGUUCGAUGGCUGCCACCAUCCUUAACCUGAAUACUGAUGGCUCGACACUGGUGCGGAAGCAGUUCUCAGAAACUGCAAUGGUGACUACUGGAUAUGCGGGGUACCUAUCGACACAUCCCUCAUGCUUGCAUGCUGCAAGCGUUCCAGCAAAGUUAAGGGCCUUUUGAGAUGACCUCCACGUUGCUAAGAUGAAAAUAUCAGAAAGAUUAUAGUUGAAUUGGAUGGCUUCUCUAGGAGCAGUUUGAGCAUACCUUUACGGAGGGCAACAGAUACGCUGAUGCGCUUGCAAAUAUUGGCAGCAAAGCUCAAGUCCCUCAACUUCGGACCACUUCUAUAACUCUAAUAUGCAGUAUAUUUUUUUAACAGCCACCAAACUGGAUCACUCUUGCAUGCCAAUGCCGCCAGCAUUCAUUUGUAACUUGACAGUAUCAGUCCUUAAUUCUUAUCUAACUUCCAUUUCAGAUAAAAAGAAAAUGGCAACACCAAGAUACACAAUGUUGCUUUUAAAGCCACUACUGAAGUAGAUGACCUAAGAGUUCCUUCUAAAAAUAUGAUUUGACAGUAAUACUGCCAAAAUUCCAUAAAAAGGGCUUGUCAUUUGAUCGGUUUGAUGAUGUAAAGCUAAAGAUGCUUUUAUUUAUUUAUCUCUAUGUAUGGCAUUGACCUAAACAAUGUAAGACCAGCUUCUCCCAUCCAAUAUAAAGUCCGUAU
Long non-coding RNA from Hibiscus syriacus, 1388 nucleotides. RefSeq lists it as uncharacterized. The record is from RefSeq and is a predicted model, not a curated record. NCBI's taxonomy places the organism in Eukaryota, Viridiplantae, Streptophyta, Magnoliopsida, Malvales, Malvaceae. The transcript is spliced from 3 exons.